UUCCGGUUGAUCCUGCCGGACCUGACUGCUAUCGGAUUGAUACUAAGCCAUGCGAGUCAUUGUAGCAAUACAAGGCAGACGGCUCAGUAACGCGUAGUCAACCUAACCUAUGGACGGGAAUAACCUCGGGAAACUGAGAAUAAUGCCCGAUAGAACACUAUACCUGGAAUGGUUUGUGUUCCAAAUGAUUUAUCGCCGUAGGAUGGGACUGCGGCCUAUCAGUUUGUUGGUGAGGUAAUGGCCCACCAAGACUAUUACAGGUACGGGCUCUGAGAGGAGUAGCCCGGAGAUGGGUACUGAGACACGGACCCAGGCCCUAUGGGGCGCAGCAGGCGAGAAAACUUUGCAAUGUGCGAAAGCACGACAAGGUUAAUCCGAGUGAUUUGUGCUAAACGAAUCUUUUGUUAGUCCUAGAAACACUAACGAAUAAGGGGUGGGCAAGUUCUGGUGUCAGCCGCCGCGGUAAAACCAGCACCUCAAGUGGUCAGGAUGAUUAUUGGGCCUAAAGCAUCCGUAGCCGGCUCUGUAAGUUUUCGGUUAAAUCUGUAUGCUCAACAUACAGGCUGCCGGGAAUACUGCAGAGCUAGGGAGUGGGAGAGGUAGACGGUACUCGGUAGGAAGGGGUAAAAUCCUUUGAUCUAUUGAUGACCACCUGUGGCGAAGGCGGUCUACCAGAACACGUCCGACGGUGAGGGAUGAAAGCUGGGGGAGCAAACCGGAUUAGAUACCCGGGUAGUCCCAGCUGUAAACUAUGCAAACUCAGUGAUGCAUUGGCUUGUGGCCAAUGCAGUGCUGCAGGGAAGCCGUUAAGUUUGCCGCCUGGGAAGUACGUACGCAAGUAUG
RNAcentral lists this ribosomal RNA (843 nucleotides) under uncultured archaeon. RNAcentral's name for it is "bacterial SSU rRNA". It matches the Rfam family "Archaeal small subunit ribosomal RNA", at positions 1 to 851 of the family's 1478-position model. The record is from RNAcentral.